Galeopterus variegatus (Sunda flying lemur) is the source of this 249-nucleotide long non-coding RNA. RefSeq lists it as uncharacterized. Lineage: Eukaryota; Metazoa; Chordata; Mammalia; Dermoptera; Cynocephalidae. The record is from RefSeq and is a predicted model, not a curated record. The transcript has 3 exons.
CAUAGGUUUUUAUAUACUGUCUGGAACAAUUGAGCACCAAGCCUGAUGCAGAUGUAGAUACCACACAUCUUUCUGUUGACGUUUCUUCUCCUGAUUUGUUUGGAAGUAUCCAUGAAGACUUCAGCUUGACCUCUGAACAGCGACUUCUGAUAGUCCUCAGUAAUUGCUGCUAUCUAGAACGUCAUACCUUCCUAAAUAUAGCAGAACAUUUUGAAAAGCACAACUUCCAGGGAAUAGAAAAAAUAACAC